UUGAGCGGAGAUAUAUGGAGCUUGCUUUAUAUAACUUAGCAGCGAACGGGUGAGUAACACGUAGAUAAUCUAUCCUAUACUGGGGGAUAGCCCGAUGAAAGUUGGAUUAAUACCGCAUAUAGCUAUAUAGUUGCAUGAUUAUGUAGCGAAAGAUUUAUUGGUAUAGGAGGAGUCUGCGGCACAUUAGCUAGUAGGUGAGGUAAAGGCUUACCUAGGCGACGAUGUGUAGCCGGUCUGAGAGGAUGAACGGCCACAAUGGAACUGAGACACGGUCCAUACUCCUACGGGAGGCAGCAGUGGGGAAUAUUGCACAAUGGGGGAAACCCUGAUGCAGCAACGCCGCGUGAGUGAAGAAGGUUUUCGGAUUGUAAAGCUCUGUUAGCAGGGAAGAGGAAGGACGGUACCUGCAGAGGAAGCCACGGCUAACUACGUGCCAGCAGCCGCGGUAAUACGUAGGUGGCAAGCGUUGUUCGGAAUAACUGGGCGUAAAGGAUGCGUAGGCGGUUAAACAAGUUAUAUGUUAAAUAUAUAGGCUUAACCUGUAGAAAGCAUAUAAAACUGUUUAACUAGAGUGCAGGAGAGGUAAGUGGAAUUCCUAGUGUAGCGGUGAAAUGCGUAGAGAUUAGGAAGAACACCAGUGGCGAAGGCGACUUACUGGACUGUAACUGACGCUGAGGCAUGAGAGCAUGGGGAGCAAACAGGAUUAGAUACCCUGGUAGUCCAUGCUGUAAACGAUGGGUACUAGGUGUGGGUUGUGAAUAACAAUUCGUGCCGUC
This 776-nucleotide ribosomal RNA is filed under the name uncultured bacterium. Its description in RNAcentral is "bacterial SSU rRNA". It matches the Rfam family "Bacterial small subunit ribosomal RNA", at positions 62 to 850 of the family's 1533-position model. The record is from RNAcentral.